Canis lupus familiaris (dog) is the source of this 1323-nucleotide long non-coding RNA. RefSeq lists it as uncharacterized. NCBI's taxonomy places the organism in Eukaryota, Metazoa, Chordata, Mammalia, Carnivora, Canidae. The transcript has 3 exons. The record is from RefSeq and is a predicted model, not a curated record.
GGCAGAGCUGCGGCAGGUCGGCGUGCUCCGGGCCGGGGACCCGAGGGAGGCGACCUGCGGACCUACGACGGCCGAGGAGGAGGACAGAGAGCAGAGAAGCUGCUAGAAGCAAGCAAGGCCGCGGACCGAGGCCAAGGGAAGCGUACAGAGGCCAGAGGGGCGACGAAGACCCCAGGCUCGAGCGUCACAAGUCAGAGGAAGAGACACUUUCAAGGGGGCUCCCUUCGGCCCAGGGCGUGCGUGACCCGGGGUCCCGGGAUCGAGUCCCGCGUCGGGCUCCCCGGAGGACGCUGCUCCUCCCUCUGCCUGGGUCUCUGCCUCUCUGUGUGUGUCUCACGAAUAAAUACAUUUUUUUAGUAAAAAGUAAAAUCCCUAAGCCCCCAUAUGGGAAUAUGGAAGGGGCUGGUCCACGGGCGGUCCUGACGCCACGCUCCCUUGGUCUGAACGCGGAUCCUGCUGCCGCUGAGCGAGGUGACCCUGCAAGCUGCUUAACCUUUCACACGCAGCCGUGUUCGCAUCCGUCGAAUGGGAGAGUAACAGCACCCACUGGUACGGGGCUGUUGCGAGAAUGAAUAUGUGAAAGGCCCUGGCACAGUGACCCCCGGGAGAGCCUGCCUGGCCGUCUGCUUGGAAGCUGAGCACCACACUCGGGAGUAGGGCGAUGCAGGAGCAGCAUCCAGUUUCUCCCGCUCCCCUUCCCCUCCUUCCAUAUGCAGGAGGGAGUUUAAGCCAUAUUAGGUCUACAAUCUGUUCACUUUUUUCUUUUUUUUAGGUUGCUUCUUUAAUAGUUGGACAGGAAAGAAUGAGGAUUCUAGUAGGAUAGCCACCCACUGGGUAGUUUGCGAGCGGUCAGUUCCAGUAAUGCAGCAGGAAGCCACACUAGACCAAAACCUCAUUCUCUGACAACCCACCUUCAUCGCUUUCAUUUGACGUUUUAGCAUUCGCUGCCUUUGCCUUGCUUUUGUGCAAAAGUAUUGCAGCUGGACUUACUGUGAGGCUAAGUAAUCGUGGAUAGGCCACAGCAAGUCGCAGCCUCGGUUCUGUCCGUUGUCAGAUGGGGUGGCACCUGCACCUCGAGGACUACGCUGACGGCAAGCGGGCCUUGGCGUCUCAUCCGCGCGGGAAUGUCCCUGUGAGUCGUUGCUGCACAGAGGGAAGGCCACCUUGCAGCAGCCGCACCCCGCCCCCGCUUCGCGUAUGACCAGAAGGAUGACGCCCAUUGCGCUCCGGGGGCGCCACCCGCGCUCACGCGCACACUCGCCAGCACCUUCCCACGUGCGAGGCUGCUCCGGCCUCAGCGCCCCCCCCCCCACCCCGCAGCUA